UAGGGAAUCUUCGGCAAUGGACGAAAGUCUGACCGAGCAACGCCGCGUGAGUGAAGAAGGUUUUCGGAUCGUAAAACUCUGUUGUUAGAGAAGAACAAGGACGUUAGUAACUGAACGUCCCCUGACGGUAUCUAACCAGAAAGCCACGGCUAACUACGUGCCAGCAGCCGCGGUAAUACGUAGGCGGCAAGCGUUGUCCGGAUUUAUUGGGCGUAAAGCGAGCGCAGGCGGUUUCUUAAGUCUGAUGUGAAAGCCCCCGGCUCAACCGGGGAGGGUCAUUGGAAGCUUGGAUACUUGAGUGCAGAAGAGGAGAGUGGAAUUCCAUGUGUAGCGGUGAAAUGCGUAGAUAUAUGGGGGAACACCAGUGGCGAAGGCGGCUCUCUAGUCUGUAACUGACGCUGAGGCUCGAAAGCGUGGGGAGCAAACAGG
RNAcentral lists this ribosomal RNA (429 nucleotides) under Gemmatimonadota bacterium. RNAcentral's name for it is "Gemmatimonadetes bacterium partial 16S ribosomal RNA". It matches the Rfam family "Bacterial small subunit ribosomal RNA", at positions 355 to 776 of the family's 1533-position model. Lineage: Bacteria; Pseudomonadati; Gemmatimonadota. The record is from RNAcentral.